Microtus ochrogaster (prairie vole) is the source of this 164-nucleotide small nuclear RNA. Its record names the gene U1. It matches the Rfam family "U1 spliceosomal RNA". Rfam says of the family: U1 is a small nuclear RNA (snRNA) component of the spliceosome (involved in pre-mRNA splicing). Its 5' end forms complementary base pairs with the 5' splice junction, thus defining the 5' donor site of an intron. There are significant differences in sequence and secondary structure between metazoan and yeast U1 snRNAs, the latter being much longer (568 nucleotides as compared to 164 nucleotides in human). The record is from Ensembl. Lineage: Eukaryota; Metazoa; Chordata; Mammalia; Rodentia; Cricetidae.
GUGCUUAUCUGGCAGGAGAGAGACUGCGAUCCUGAACAUAGUUUCCUAGGGUGAGACGCAUCCAUUACACUCUGGGUAUAGUGACCCUUUUAUCUCCCCAAACACAGGAAACUCAACUACACAAUUCGUAGUAGUGGCAGGCAGCAUUCAUUCUCUUCCUGGUU